CUUCGUAGAGGGCUCGCACACCUAACUACCACUCCCUCCACCUGCCUGCUCAUGUUCCCACUCUCCAGCAGUUUGCACCAGGAAAUAAGCGAUAUAUUGGUGCAUGCGCUGAAAUUGACUGAAACUGCCUAAGCACCGGCAGAAGACCCAAAGAGCUGGAAGAUGGCGCCCGUAAGUUCUGCUGCACUGAAUCUGCAAAGAGAGGACAAAAUGGAUGGAAGCCAAAGUCAAUAUCUACAUAUCCAUCUUGGAGAGAUUCCUGAAAACGUUAACCAGGAACAGGGCUUUAUA
This is an RNA transcript of Xenopus laevis (African clawed frog), 291 nucleotides long. RefSeq lists it as uncharacterized. NCBI's taxonomy places the organism in Eukaryota, Metazoa, Chordata, Amphibia, Anura, Pipidae. The record is from RefSeq and is a predicted model, not a curated record. The transcript has 3 exons.